RNAcentral lists this long non-coding RNA (3890 nucleotides) under Paramuricea clavata. Lineage: Eukaryota; Metazoa; Cnidaria; Anthozoa; Malacalcyonacea; Plexauridae. The record is from RNAcentral.
CUUCAUUAUUCUCUUAUAAGAAUUUUCACCAAUUUUUUAUGAUCAUUUUUUGGCCAGAUUUAUGCUUCACACGGUUUCAAGCAAGCGAUAGAUUGGGAGCGCUUUUUGGUGUAUAUAUUUUAGAAGACAAGGCACGCGCGCAAUGAGUUGUGGUAUGUCGUGUAUCAAAUGUCAGGUGUGAUUUGCAAAUUUUUUACUUUUUCGUUUGAGUAUAUUUCGCUGAAGAAAACUACGAGGAAAAGCGUGGUUUUCCUCAUAUUUUUUAUUGGAUAAGUGACUCCGAAUCCUGCCAGGGGCUUAUUUGAUCUCAGGUAUGAAAUAUUACUGUUUAUAUCAUAGAACUAUAACGUUCAUCGACCCUAUUAUCUCAUUUAUCUUGUUGCUGUUGUGGCUGCUAAAAUUUGAAUUUGCCCGCGCGAGAAUUCGUAUGUUUCAUAUUGAAAUUAUUUCAUUUCAAUGCCAUCAAAUACUAGUUAAAACCAACAAUUCAAAUUUUGAAUAAACACACAGUAAAUACUGGGUUGCACUUGUUUGGCAAAAGCACAUUUAAAGUCACAUAGACAUAGUAUAAAACAAUAUGUGAACAUCCCUAUUAAUAAAAGCCAAAACAUAAAAAUUAUUUGAGAGUAUUCAACAUGAGGAAGUCACAAUGUUAUCUAUAUGUGAAUCAACAAAUUGUUAACCCAAUACAAUAUAUAGAAUUGAUUAAGAUUAUCAGUUCAGUGCUAUUUCUUGGUUUUAAUAGCAGCAUGUACCAGCAUUAAAUUAUAUUGACAUGGAUUGAAUUUUGUAUUUAAUUGUGCAUUCUGUUUUUUUAAUCCCCCUUCCCUGGAUUUCCAAGGUCUUUCAAGCCAUUAAGUGGCAGCUCUCUCCCCUCGACAAGUAAAAUAAAGCCUUCUAUAGAGUUUAUAUACUGUGUGUGCCUGUUUAUGUGACAAAUUAUGGCAUGGCUGAACAGGAGGUUUUAAUCCAGCCUUGCUGAGAAACUUGGCUAGGCAAAACAGGAUGAUGUGUUUUAUAUAUAGAUGGAAUACACCCCGCCUGGCAGGGAUGAUAGAGUGCUUGUAUUAGAAUUUCUCGUCUUGGCAGACUGGGAUCUCGGCAACAAAUGGGUUAUUCCAGAAAACAUCCAUACCACCCCCACGGAGGAAAUAGGAAGUUAACCCCCCUACCCCCUUUGGAUGUCCUAAUACAUUUACUAUUAUCAGAAACAAUUUUUUCUCCCCUCCCCCUCCGGAUGGCAGAAAUUUCCUCUGUGGGGGGAGUAUGGAUCUUUUCUGGAAUGACCCAAUAAUGGGAUCCAGCCUGGGCCAGAUAAAGGUAGAAUCAUUCAUUUUACUGUAAACACUCUAUAUAGUUAGUUUAUAUUGCAAGCGGGAUCAUGCCAAAUGUCUAGCCGGGAUCAUAUUUAAAAGCAAUUUAUAAUUAAAUGGAUCUAAAUGAUUGGAUAGAUACUGCAGACUCUAUAAAAGCAAUCUUACAACUGCAUAAAACUAGUAUUUUUUUACAAGUGCUGACAUCUUGUAUUCUCAUUGCCAGCAUACCUAUUACAGCCAACUUACAGACAAGGGAAAGCGGCUUAAAAUUACUACAUGGUGAGUGUGAUAAUAGAGAAUGGAUUUUCAAUUUUCAUUUAUAUGUACAUACUAGGUAGAUUUUAUCCCAGAACCUUGACUUAGAUGAUUACCAUUAGAAUGAGUAGAAGUCGGUGGGAAGCACCAGACGACAGUGGCAAGAACUCGCCCCAAGGUAAAUCCUUCCAUUCUGCACUCAAAAGUAUCAAUUAUGAAUAGUGGAUUUUGUUCAUUCAACAUUGUCUACCAGAAAUGUGAUAAAAAGGCAAUGUGCAUGCAUCCAAAGCUAGAUUGAAUUAUGAUCUAUCUUAUAAAUGACCAUUAACACAUUAGGCACCAGCACUCUCCACUUGAGUCUUUACGAGUAAAAUUGUCUCGCGUUAGACAGAGUACAAUAAUCUGGCAUUAACCCACUGAGUCGCAUUGCGCCCUGAUGCGCCCCACUUUAUUAUUUUACUCUGUCUAACGCCAAACAAUUUUACUCGUCAAGGGGAGAGUGCUAGCACUUAAUGGGUUAAAGACAUUAAUAAAAUAAGGAAGUAUUGCACAUAAGGCACAAAGCAAUUUAAUGUGUCACUAGACUGACACAUGGCCAGAUUAACCCAUUAACCACCAGGGGCCUGGGUAGUGCUAUCCACCGGAUAAUGAUUUUCUCAAGUUUUGUUAAAUCAGUCGUUGAUUGGUGUAACUGGUAUUAAAGUUUAGUAUUUAUACAAGCAAAAUGUUUUUUUAUACUUCUUAUGUCCUUUAUAUCUGUAGGUUCACAGUUUUUCAAGCAUUUUUUCAAAUGUUGAAAAAUCAGUAUCCGGUGGAUAGCGCUAUCCGGCCUUCGUACAACCGGCCCCAGCACUCUCCCACUCACAAAUAAAAUUGUCUGGCAUUAGACAGGAGUACAAUUUAUUGUAUUUAGGGUGCAAUUACUGCAAUGCAACUUAAUGGGUUAGAAUUUGAAAUUUUGCCUGUGGGACCAUGAUUUCUGGGUUAGCAUGUACUAGCCAGGAAUCACUUGGUCUAUGGGUGGAACCAUAGUGAAUCAAAUUUUUCCUACGAAAACAAAUAACUAAUUUAUGUGUAAUCAUUCAUUAUGUAGGAUCAGAUGGAGUUUACAAGGUGAUAAGGAAUUUUUCAGCAGCAAAAUCCUUUAGAUGCUUUCUAAAAUGUAAGGGUAAUGCUUGUUGGUAUUUCUGAUUUAAUUAAUAUGCUAUUGGCUCAUUCCAGAAAACGUUCAUACAUUCAUGUAUGGUUAUGAUUUUACCUCAGUUGUAUGUGAGAGGAGUGCUGCACUGACAAAUGACAGCACUGACAAGUAAAAUCAUCUGACAUUAGAUGGAGUAAAACAAUAAAGUUGUGGCAAAAUGCAGCUUAGGGACCGGUCAUUAACAAUGGGAGGGUGGGGGGGUUAGAAAAGGGGGGCGUCUUCAACUAUUUUUGCCUGAAUUGGGGGCGGCCUCAAACUGAAAAAUAUGUGACAGUACAUUUUUUAAUACUUUCUUAUUCAUUGUCAAAAUAUAAUAAAACCUUUCGCAUAUGCAGUUCACCAUAGGAAUACAGUAGGAAUAAAUAACAACUAUUUUGAAUAUUGGUCCCCAGUACUUGUCCCAUUACUUAUUUACAACAAAAAAUGUAACAAACUAAAUGUUGGAGAGGGGUGGGUCCUAAGUUUUCUAGAUGAAGGUGGGGAGUCUUGAAAAUAAAGGUCUUGCGAUUGGGGUGGCUCUAAAAAAUGUUCAAUAUUUGGUAUUUAUCACCCACAGACCCCCUCCCAUUAUUACCUUACUACCAUUAUUUGUAGCCGGUGUCCGGCCUAGUGUAAUAUCCAGUUAACACCCCACAAAUUGUUGCGCCCUCCUUAAGUUACUGUAACAAGUUUACAAGGGUCAUAGGUGGAUUGUUUGGUUAGCCCACUAAUUAAUGCCCCUGGCUUUAUUCUAAAAAAAUCUGUUCAUUUUGUUUUGCAGGUCUGCGUGGGAAUUCAACAGUGCUGUAAUGUGCAGUGAAAACAUUACUUCAGGCAAAUUUCUAAGAGUUACAAAGGGACAACAAUUUAUGGUAAAAUGAAAAUGAGCAUAUAUAGACAAUAUACAGUAUGCUAUAUAGUUAUAAUAAUAUAACUUUUCAUGUUUAUCUUAAUGUUUAAUAUAACUAAGUUUUGAAGUGACUUGAACUUGAAAUCAGGGAAUGCAAGACCAAUUCCUUUGAUAAUGGUAUAUUUUGAAUAUGUAGCAAGGUUCAACAUUAUACUAAUUGACAAGAUUUAACUUUGGUGAACAUGUGUGAUGUGUUUAACUAUUAAGUGAAUAUAUUAUUUUUAAACCA